This 65-nucleotide transfer RNA is filed under the name Brachythemis contaminata. RNAcentral's name for it is "tRNA-Leu". Lineage: Eukaryota; Metazoa; Arthropoda; Insecta; Odonata; Libellulidae. The record is from RNAcentral.
UUUAAUGUGGCAGAUAAGUGCCAUGGGUUUAAGUUCCAUUCAUAAAGGUUUUCCUUUCAUUAAAA